AAAUAGAACUUUGCAGAGAGAGUUAAGAGGGCGUGAACCGUUAAUUGGCAAACGAAUCGGAGCCACGAAGUCGUUUCGUUGUCCAGUUCAGCCAGGUUCAGUUCGUCUGCGCAAGCAGACGGGCGUACUCCUGGGCUGAGCCACACUGUAAGCGUACACUGCAACCAGUUAGACGAUUGGUGGUGGGCCCAGCCUAGAUGGGACUUCGGUCCCUUCCAGGCGAAGCAUCUGUUUGAGUGGGGUAGUAGUAGUGAGGCGCGCCUCGUGUGCGUCUCGCUGCUGGCCCCUCUCAGGUGAACUACUACCAAAUACUGACUGGCAAAAUUAAAAUCGCCCCAGCGGCGUUACACAGAACGCGUCCGCCAACACUCGGAUCCACAUACUCGACCAUGGGGUUUAAGCUCGGCAUCUUUGAAUUUGGACUUGCUCGCUACCAAUGGGGCAACCCUUGGUGCUUGUACAGCUUCAUCUAAUCGGGUGUCGACUUGACCUGGUGUAGUUCGGCUAUGCUACGAUCGGGCUCGAGUGUUAGGCGGGUCGCCGUCGAUUGGCAGUGAGUAGGUCGGCUUUCCGAACGACCCGUCUUGAAACACGGACCAAGGAGUCUAAUUAGGCAUCAGUCGAUCGGUCUUGAUAGGCCAGACGUUGGGUCCCUCGGGACCCAUGACUGAAGGCGCAGAGAAAUCAAACCAUGUGAUCCCUGCCAGCAAUGGUGGGGCGCAACAUGUGCCUGUUCGAUGCUGUGUCCUCGGACCAGCUGGGCGGAGCAAAGAGAUGCCUGAUUGGUACCCGAAAGAUGGUGAACUAUGCCUGGGCAAGUUGAAGCCAGAGGAAACUCUGGUGGAGGACUGUAGCGGUUCUGACGUGCAAAUCGAUCGUCAGACCUGGGUAUAGGGGCGAAAGACUAAUCGAACCAUC
This 918-nucleotide ribosomal RNA is filed under the name Rhyncaphytoptus sp. 28sd2-5r110. RNAcentral describes it as "eukaryotic LSU rRNA". It matches the Rfam family "Eukaryotic large subunit ribosomal RNA", at positions 366 to 944 of the family's 3401-position model. Lineage: Eukaryota; Metazoa; Arthropoda; Arachnida; Trombidiformes; Diptilomiopidae. The record is from RNAcentral.